GAUGAACGCUAGCGGGAGGCCUAACACAUGCAAGCCGAGCGGUAUUUGUCUUUCGGGACAGAGAGAGCGGCGUACGGGUGCGGAACACGUGUGCAACCUACCUUUAUCAGGGGGAUAGCCUUUCGAAAGGAAGAUUAAUACCCCAUAAUAUAUUGAAUGGCAUCAUUUAAUAUUGAAAACUCCGGUGGAUAGAGAUGGGCACGCGCAAGAUUAGAUAGUUGGUAGGGUAACGGCCUACCAAGUCAGUGAUCUUUAGGGGGCCUGAGAGGGUGAUCCCCCACACUGGUACUGAGACACGGACCAGACUCCUACGGGAGGCAGCAGUGAGGAAUAUUGGACAAUGGGUGAGAGCCUGAUCCAGCCAUCCCGCGUGAAGGACGACGGCCCUAUGGGUUGUAAACUUCUUUUGUAUAGGGAUAAACCUACUCUCGUGAGAGUAGCUGAAGGUACUAUACGAAUAAGCACCGGCUAACUCCGUGCCAGCAGCCGCGGUAAUACGGAGGGUGCAAGCGUUAUCCGGAUUUAUUGGGUUUAAAGGGUCCGUAGGCGGAUCUGUAAGUCAGUGGUGAAAUCUCACAGCUUAACUAUGAAACUGCCAUUGAUACUGCAGGUCUUGAGUAAAGUAGAAGUGGCUGGAAUAAGUAGUGUAGCGGUGAAAUGCAUAGAUAUUACUUAGAACACCAAUUGCGAAGGCAGGUCACUAUGUUUUAACUGACGCUGAUGGACGAAAGCGUGGGGAGCGAACAGGAUUAGAUACCCUGGUAGUCCACGCCGUAAACGAUGCUAACUCGUUUUUGGGGCUUUAAGCUUCAGAGACUAAGCGAAAGUGAUAAGUUAGCCACCUGGGGAGUACGUUCGCAAGAAUGAAACUCAAAGGAAUUGACGGGGGCCCGCACAAGCGGUGGAUUAUGUGGUUUAAUUCGAUGAUACGCGAGGAACCUUACCAAGGCUUAAAUGGGAAUUGACAGGUUUAGAAAUAGACUUUUCUUCGGACAAUUUCCAAGGUGCUGCAUGGUUGUCGUCAGCUCGUGCCGUGAGGUGUUAGGUUAAGUCCUGCAACGAGCGCAACCCCUGUCACUAGUUGCCAUCAUUCAGUUGGGGACUCUAGUGAGACUGCCUACGCAAGUAGAGAGGAAGGUGGGGAUGACGUCAAAUCAUCACGGCCCUUACGCCUUGGGCCACACACGUAAUACAAUGGCCGGUACAGAGGGCAGCUACCAGGCGACUGGAUGCGAAUCUCGAAAGCUGGUCUCAGUUCGGAUUGGAGUCUGCAACUCGACUCUAUGAAGCUGGAAUCGCUAGUAAUCGCAUAUCAGCCAUGAUGCGGUGAAUAAAAGCCCGGGCCU
RNAcentral lists this ribosomal RNA (1346 nucleotides) under uncultured bacterium. RNAcentral describes it as "bacterial SSU rRNA". It matches the Rfam family "Bacterial small subunit ribosomal RNA", at positions 28 to 1381 of the family's 1533-position model. The record is from RNAcentral.